RNAcentral lists this ribosomal RNA (116 nucleotides) under Candidatus Peregrinibacteria bacterium CG10_big_fil_rev_8_21_14_0_10_55_24. Lineage: Bacteria; Candidatus Peregrinibacteriota. The record is from RNAcentral.
CCUGGUGUCUCGAGCGGCGGGGGUACACCUGUUCCCAUCCCGAACACAGCAGUUAAGCCCGCCAGCGCCGAUGGUAGUUCCCCUUUGCGGGGUGCGAGAGUAGGUCGACGCCAGGA